This 253-nucleotide ribosomal RNA is filed under the name uncultured bacterium. RNAcentral describes it as "partial 16S ribosomal RNA". It matches the Rfam family "Bacterial small subunit ribosomal RNA", at positions 524 to 776 of the family's 1533-position model. The record is from RNAcentral.
UACGUAGGGUGCAAGCGUUAAUCGGAAUUACUGGGCGUAAAGCGUGCGCAGGCGGUUUGGUAAGUCUGACGUGAAAUCCCCGGGCUCAACCUGGGAAUUGCGUUGGAGACUGCAAGGCUAGAAUCUGGCAGAGGGGGGUAGAAUUCCACGUGUAGCAGUGAAAUGCGUAGAGAUGUGGAGGAACACCGAUGGCGAAGGCAGCCCCCUGGGUCAAGAUUGACGCUGAGGAGCGAAAGCAUGGGGAGCGAACAGG